UACGUAGGGUGCGAGCGUUAAUCGGAAUUACUGGGCGUAAAGCGUGCGCAGGCGGUUCGUUGUGUCUGAUGUGAAAGCCCCGGGCUUAACCUGGGAAUGGCAUUGGAAACUGGCGAGCUGGAGUGUGGCAGAGGGGGGUGGAAUUCCGCGUGUAGCAGUGAAAUGCGUAGAGAUGCGGAGGAACACCGAUGGCGAAGGCAGCCCCCUGGGCCAACACUGAAGAUCAGGCACGAAAGCGUGGGGAGCAAACAGG
RNAcentral lists this ribosomal RNA (253 nucleotides) under uncultured bacterium. RNAcentral describes it as "partial 16S ribosomal RNA". It matches the Rfam family "Bacterial small subunit ribosomal RNA", at positions 524 to 776 of the family's 1533-position model. The record is from RNAcentral.